This 517-nucleotide ribosomal RNA is filed under the name uncultured bacterium. RNAcentral describes it as "partial 16S ribosomal RNA". It matches the Rfam family "Bacterial small subunit ribosomal RNA", at positions 29 to 523 of the family's 1533-position model. The record is from RNAcentral.
AACGAACGCUGGCGGCGUGGAUAAGACAUGCAAGUCGAACGGGAUUUUUUUCUGUAGCAAUACAGAAAAAAGUCUAGUGGCGAACGGGUGCGUAACACGUGAGCAACCUGCCGUGAAGUGGGGGAUAGCUCGCCGAAAGGCGAAUUAAUACCGCAUGUGGCCAAGGAAGACAUCUUCCUGACGCCAAAGCCGGGGCAACCUGGCGCUUCUCGAGGGGCUCGCGGCCUAUCAGCUUGUUGGUGAGGUAACGGCUCACCAAGGCUAUGACGGGUAGCUGGUCUGAGGGGAAGACCAGCCCCACUGGAACUGAGACACGGUCCAGAAACCUACGGGUGGCAGCAGUCGAGAAUUUUUCACAAUGGGGGAAACCCUGAUGGGGCGACGCCGCGUGGAGGAUGAAGGUUUUCGGAUUGUAAACUCCUGUCAUUAGAGAACAAGGCACACGGUUUAACUGGCCGUGUGUUGAUAGUAUCUGAAGAGGAAGAGACGGCUAACUCUGUGCCAGCCGCCGCCGUAA